This 2054-nucleotide long non-coding RNA is filed under the name Erythranthe guttata (spotted monkey flower). RNAcentral describes it as "long non-coding RNA (EGUT_LNC003316)". Lineage: Eukaryota; Viridiplantae; Streptophyta; Magnoliopsida; Lamiales; Phrymaceae. The record is from RNAcentral.
CAAUUUCUUUACAUACUGGGCUACGAGCCCAAUAUCGAAGACUAAUAUCACCGAGGCCCAAACACCUUCAAGUAAGGCUUGGGCCCAACAAAGCAAACCCAACCCAAUAAACGACAUAUAAAUAGAGGUUUUACUCAUUUUAUUAAGGUACGUCCUAUUAACUGAGCAAUACUAUCAACUGUAUUCUCUGGACUAUUUCUAUGAUCAGCACGUCUGACUUGAGCGUCGGAGGGGUUUCCGCCGGAUCAACCCCCGGCGUAGUUCACGUGUGUUCAUUUCGCAGGUACCUCAGGAUCAUCAAGUUGUCAAGCUACUGAUCUGCUUUGCUCUCCCAGUUCGUUUUCCACACUAGGAGACCACUCGCUCCAUCCUACGACCCGCAGCGAGGAAACUCCCACGAGGAGCCAACUCGCUCGGUCCUACGAACCCACAGCGAGAUAACUCCCAUGAGGAGACCACUUGAUCCGCCCUAUAACCUGUUGCGAGGUAAAUCCCACGAGGAGCCAACUCCCUCGGGUCUCAUAACCACAGCGAGAUAACUCCCACGAGGAGACCACUCGCUCUAUCCCACAAUUCGCAGCGAGACAACUCCUACGAGGAGCCAACUCACCCGAUACUACAACCCGUAGCGAGACAACUCCCACGAGGAGUCUACUCGCUCGGUACUACAACCGGCAGCAAGACAACUCCCACGAGGAGAUAACUUGCUCAGUCAUAUAACCCGUUGCGAGGCAACUCCCACGAGGAGUCAACUCCCUCGGGCCUACGAACCCACAGCGAGAUAACUCCUACAAGGAGACCAAUCGCUCCAUCCUACGACUCGCAGCGAGGGAACUCCCACGAGGAGCCAACUCGCUCGGUACUACGAACCCGUAGCGAGACAACUCCCACGAGGAGCCAACUCGCUCGGUACCACAACCCGCAGCGAGACAACUCCCACGAGGAGCCAACUCGCUCGAUACUACAAAUCCGUUGCAAGGCAACUCCCACGUACAACCACCUCGCUCGAUAAUAAGACUCGCUGCGAGACAACUCCCACGGGGAGACAACUCGCUCAGAGCAACCUCAAUCCGCACACUCCUCAAUCGCGCGUCAUCCAAUGCUCCUACAACUUCGCUGCAAGACAACUCUCUUGAAGAGACAACUCGCUCGCAAUGCACUAUAUAAUCGCAAGCUCAAGUUAGCACGAUUACAACCCUAGAAACACUUAGAGAUAUUAUGAGAAUCUAUAUAGCCUGGCCAGCUUGAUUACUCAAAAUUUAUCUACUUGUUUUCAAUGGGUCCUUCAUUAAAACGUGGCCACGGUCCAAACAUACUUACGACCCACGAGGUCUAACAAUGGGCACGAUCCCCAUAAAAAAAACUCUUGAGAGCCUGAUCCCCUCCUCAAGUACAUCACGCACAAGGCUAUAUGUAAACACAUACAAGCAACGCGUCAAAACAUUGACAAUGUCGAUAAAUAACAACUCCCACGAGGAGAAUACUAGCUCCGUGCUACUACAUUAUCACGAGACAACUCCCACGAGGAGAUAACUCGAUCAACACUAUUACCCCGCGACAAGACAACUCCCACGAGGAGAUAAUUCGCUACUACAUCGUCGCGGGACAAAACCGACGACUCAAUUAACUUACAUCGCGACAACCUUGUCGCGCUAUGCGCCAACGCGCAUUCACGCCCCUCCGACACACGCUACAACGCGUUUUCGCAUACCAUUAGGCCAUACGCCAACGAUCGACUUCUACAAUUUUUACUCUCGACACGAUCUGAGACCCAUCACAACAUGGCCCCCACAUCGACUCGAGAGUGGGGGGCUUAAUGAUAUGCCUAAUUGGGCCAACCCAAUGGGCCUACAAUUUCUUUACAUACUGGGCUACGAGCCCAAUAUCGAAGACUAAUAUCACCGAGGCCCAAACACCUUCAAGUAAGGCUUGGGCCCAACAAAGCAAACCCAACCCAAUAAACGACAUAUAAAUAGAGGUUUUACUCAUUUUAUUAAGGUACGUCCUAUUAACUGAGCAAUACUAUCAACUGUAUUCUCUGGACUAUUUCUAUG